This 497-nucleotide ribosomal RNA is filed under the name uncultured bacterium. RNAcentral's name for it is "partial 16S ribosomal RNA". It matches the Rfam family "Bacterial small subunit ribosomal RNA", at positions 28 to 507 of the family's 1533-position model. The record is from RNAcentral.
GAUGAACGCUGGCGGCGUGCCUAAUACAUGCAAGUCGAGCGAACAGACGAGGAGCUUGCUCCUCUGACGUUAGCGGCGGACGGGUGAGUAACACGUGGAUAACCUACCUAUAAGACUGGGAUAACUUCGGGAAACCGGAGCUAAUACCGGAUAAUAUAUUGAACCGCAUGGUUCAAUAGUGAAAGACGGUUUUGCUGUCACUUAUCGAUGGAUCCGCGCCGCAUUAGCUAGUUGGUAAGGUAACGGCUUACCAAGGCAACGAUGCGUAGCCGACCGGAGAGGGUGAACGGCCACACUAGAACUGAGACACGGUCCAAACUCCUACGGGAGGCAGCAGUAGGGAAUCUUCCGCAAUGGGCGAAAGCCUGACGGAACAACGCCGCGUGAGUGAUGAAGGUCUUCGGAUCGUAAAACUCUGUUAUUGGGGAAGAACAAAUGUGUAAGUAACUAUGCACGUCUUGACGGUACCUAAUCAGAAAGCCACGGCUAACUACGUG